RNAcentral lists this unclassified non-coding RNA (206 nucleotides) under uncultured fungus. RNAcentral's name for it is "sequence contains ITS1". Lineage: Eukaryota; Fungi. The record is from RNAcentral.
CCGUACCUCUCCUCAUCGAGGUUGAGGGGUAAAAUAGUGCAGACCUGUACUCUAAUCUGUUGCCUUUAUUGGGACAGAGGCGAGAGGGUUGCCUGGACCCUUGUUUUUCUGAAUGAAUGUUUCCUCGGUGGGCUUGCCCGCCAAUGAGGACCCUGAUAAACUCUUUUGCAAUCUUGUAUUUUUAUCAGACAAUAUUCUAAAUAUUA